This 73-nucleotide transfer RNA is filed under the name Ictidomys tridecemlineatus (thirteen-lined ground squirrel). RNAcentral's name for it is "Spermophilus tridecemlineatus (thirteen-lined ground squirrel) tRNA". It matches the Rfam family "tRNA". Rfam says of the family: Transfer RNA (tRNA) molecules are approximately 80 nucleotides in length. Their secondary structure includes four short double-helical elements and three loops (D, anti-codon, and T loops). Lineage: Eukaryota; Metazoa; Chordata; Mammalia; Rodentia; Sciuridae. The record is from Rfam by way of RNAcentral.
GGGCAUAUAACUCAGUUGGUAGAGUGUUUGCCUUGCAUGCAUAAGGCCCUGGGUUCAAUCUCUGGCACCACCA